GAGAGGCCUGGCGAGCGGUGGCGCGGUUCCCCCUGGUGUGGGGAGGUCGGCGAAGAGAUUUUUACGGCUCAUGUUCUACCCCAUGUCUUUUUG
Molecule: transfer RNA, 93 nt
Filed under: Paenirhizobium naphthalenivorans
Lineage: Bacteria; Pseudomonadati; Pseudomonadota; Alphaproteobacteria; Hyphomicrobiales; Rhizobiaceae
Also listed under: 1 other name
Description: Ciceribacter naphthalenivorans tRNA-Thr
Source: RNAcentral